This 253-nucleotide ribosomal RNA is filed under the name uncultured bacterium. Its description in RNAcentral is "partial 16S ribosomal RNA". It matches the Rfam family "Bacterial small subunit ribosomal RNA", at positions 524 to 776 of the family's 1533-position model. The record is from RNAcentral.
UACGAAGGGGGCUAGCGUUGUUCGGAAUUACUGGGCGUAAAGGGCGCGUAGGCGGCUUUGCACGUCAGGAGUGAAAUCCCCAGGCUUAACCUGGGAAUUGCUUUUGAGACUGUGAAGCUUGAGUACAGGAGAGGUGAGUGGAAUUCCCAGUGUAGAGGUAAAAUUCGUAGAUAUUGGGAGGAACACCAGUGGCGAAGGCGGCUCACUGGCCUGUAACUGACGCUGAGGCGCGAAAGCGUGGGGAGCAAACAGG